UAAUACGGGGGGAGCAAGCGUUGUUCGGAUUUACUGGGCGUAAAGGGCGCGUAGGCGGCGCCGCAAGUCACUUGUGAAAUCUCCGGGCUCAACUCGGAACGGUCAAGUGAUACUGCGGUGCUAGAGUGCGGAAGGGGCAACUGGAAUUCUUGGUGUAGCGGUGAAAUGCGUAGAUAUCAAGAGGAACACCUGCGGCGAAGGCGGGUUGCUGGGCCGACACUGACGCUGAGGCGCGAAAGCUAGGGGAGCGAACGGGAUUAGAUACCCCGGUAGUCCUAGCCUUAAACGAUGAAUGCUUGGUGUCCGGAGUUAGAUAGUCUCCGGGUGCCGUCGCUAACGCUUUUAGCAUUCCGCCUGGGGAGUACGGUCGCAAGACU
RNAcentral lists this ribosomal RNA (377 nucleotides) under uncultured bacterium. Its description in RNAcentral is "bacterial SSU rRNA". It matches the Rfam family "Bacterial small subunit ribosomal RNA", at positions 521 to 895 of the family's 1533-position model. The record is from RNAcentral.